AUAAAGGUAACACAGAAAACGUUAAAAAAACGCCCCUUUGGCCAUAAUUUAAAAUCUGAAACCUUUCAGAUUUUUUGUUCUGCAUCCGCAGAAAGUUUGUAGCUUUGAGAUCCAGAUUAAAGCUGUUGUACUGUACUUUUAAAUGACUUAGUUUGUUAAUCAACAACAGAUAAGUUAAAUGUGAAAUUAAAAACUAAGUAUCUUGCACUUUGUUUGCAGUGCAAUAUGAAAUGCAGCUUAUUUCGUAAUGUGGCAACACAUUUAUUUCAAAUCGUCGAGUUUGUUGCUUAAAUUUCAAAGACGAAUAAAUACCUUGCACUUUGCUAAAUGGCGACACACUGCUUUGUAAUUCGCUGAAUUUGUUAAUCGAACUUUCAUUAAGUUCGCUCAAAAUGUAUUAUAAACAAAAAAUACAUUGGAAAUUCAAAAUUAGAUUUCGAAGUAUAGAAUGACUUGCUUUGGUGGAGGACUACAUGUGUUCAAAACAUUGUUGCUCUAAAGGUUGCGCUGUUUUUUGCAAUGUGAGAAGUAUAGAUACAUACAUAUCAAUUCAUCAUUAUUUAAAAGAGAAACAAACAAUAACUAUAUUUUUGUCAAAUAAUUUUGUAGCAUUUUUAUUAGUUUCUUGGUUACUUAAAAAUUUCAUCAACUGCAUUUUAAACCAAUAAAAAUAUAUUGUAAGAUCGCAUGAAAAUAUUUUAUUUAACCACCACUAUGUUUUAAAAAGGGUUAAUUUCCCACUGCUUUUAAAUUCAUAACCACCUGUUCUUGUGUAUGUGAUUUUAUUGUUUAUGUGAAAUGGUUUGAGGGCAAAGACAUAUUAUAUUUUAGUAUUUAUACUCUGCGUAGUAUAGUACGAUUGUUGUUAUUGUGAGUAACCUCACUUGUUUGAUACCGAGCAAGACCACGAAAUUCAUCCUUUCAAGAUGGCAACCCAAUUUUGAAGGAUAGCACCCUGGGACAACAGGUCCAACAGUCUUCCCUGCAACCAACCUCUCCAGAGGGCUUUUGGCUCAUCCUAUAAUUAGAGUGCCUCCAUGCCACAUAGAUACUACACAUUUACAAACAUCCAUGCCUUCUCUGGGAUUCGAAGCCAGGCCCUUCGGUACAGGAGUCAGCGUCGUUAAUCAUUAUCCUGGGUGGGCAGCUCUUACAAAGAAUCACAUGCUGAAAACUCUAGCAAGCAUCUUCUGCUCUGUUAAAGUAUGGAAAACCCGUACAUCAUGAUAGUCUAACAUAGUCAAUUUGUUUUUAUCCAUCUGCUUCAGCCAAGGCCCCUCCUUAUCAAAAGUAACAAAAUAAUUUGAAGAAAACACUCUUUAAUUUGAGGGGGGACAAGCAUUCUGGAUGAUGCAGUGCUGUUAUGUAUGUAUAUAUGAUUACUUAGUUUGAAAACAUUUUAUGUAAACUUUGUUUACUAAUAAUAUAUUUCCCUAGUUUGUGGAGGUAUUUGUAUUAGAAUGGCUUGUUUAUCAUCUUUCCUCCAUAUAUCAAAAUGUUCAUAUUUAAAGUAGUUUUGUUUAUUUGGUUUUUAGAAACAUAUUGUGAGUACAAACUAGAUAUUUCCUUACCAACUUUGUUAGUUUAUAGAAUUCCAUUUUUUGUUCUUUGGAACAUAUAUACUACACAUUGAAAAACAAACCUAAAUUUUAAUAUUGAAUUAUCAGAAACACUUCAAAAUAUGCUUUUAUAAAUGGUAAACCUACUUUUAGAAUUAUGAAAUAUCUCUUAAACUAACUAAAAAAUAUCAGACUUAAACAUCAGUUGGAUAAACUAUCCUAAAUAGUAUCAGAAAAUUCUAUGCAAAAGUAUCAAUAACAAAUCAAUCCCAAGUAAGAUGCAUUUAUUCAUAAACAUAACAAUUAAAAGAAAUACUGGUGAAAAGUUGCAUACCAAAACUUUAUUACAUCAAAUUUAAUCUGAAUAACAGUAUAACUAAGAUCAUGAACAUAAAUUACACAGAAAAUAAAGAAUGAAAUAAAACAGCUGAGAGAAUAUUAUGAUUGAAAAUCUAGCUAAUAUAAAUAAUAAUUAUGAUGCUAACUGUCCCCAGCUCCAUAUUAAUUCUUAGGUGCUAGAAUUUAUUUAUGUUGCCUUUAUUUAUCAAAUAAUUUAAAUAUUCAUAUAAUUUUUUGGCAACAAUUAUCUACAUUUGUGAUCCAAUGGUAACUUGAUACACAUAACAGUUUGUGAAAAAGUAUUUUUAAAAUGUACAGUGUGUGUGGGGGGCAACUCUCUAUUCAUACAAAUUAAACACAAACAUAAAUCACAUAAAAUACUACACAAACUUUUCUAUUCCAUCACUAUACUCAUAACUUCAAUCUAAUCAUAAGAAGAGAAAAUAUAUUACUAAGACAAGGAAAUACAUUAUAAGAGCAAAAAUAUAAGAACAAACUCCAUCACCAAAAAUUCUGUGAAUUAGCAAUUAUAAAUAAAGGCAUUAAAAUAAUGAAAAUUCAUUAAGAAUAUUAUAUAAUUCAUCAACUAUAGAAAAUACAAAUGCAUAGCCUACUCAGAUUAUAUCUAACAUGAUCUGUAUCAGAAUCACUUAAAUAUACAUCAUUACUUACGCAGUUCAUGAAGCACAGCAUUUUGCCACGUAAAAACAAAAUUGCACGUUUGUACAUCAUUGGCUCAAACCAUGUAAUGGAUAUUCACAAAUAAUUUCAUAACUGGCAUACAUAUUCCAAGGGCCAGCAAUUUUACAUGGACUUGGAAGAACCAUUUAAGCUAUGUAAAUUGCUGCUAAACUUGGCAACAUCAGCAAUGAAUUUACAUUUCAGUUCUCCUAUUUUAAAAUUACAAACCUCCAUCAUCGACUGCCAUUGACUCAACUCAGUAUGUCAAUGAAGUAUUUGCAUAGUUCCCAAAAUAACUAAUCUUGCAUACCAUUCCUUCGAAUCCUUUCAACAAUACAAGCAACAUUUAAUACUUCUUUCAGAAAUAUGUUCAGUUUAAAAGAAAACACCAGAGGAAAGAAAGGUUAUCACGUGUCAUUUAAAUAUUCCAUUUACAAUGAAUUGAUGCAAUAUCUUUCAUGUACCACAGGCUGAAGACAUAUAAAAUUGCAUCUGAUGAUGCUUACAUUAAUGUAAAAAACAAGUAUGAAACAUUUAGGCAAUAAAAGAUUAAUGCAGACCCAUAUUAUUUAAGCAGUCUUGUUAGAUAGUACUAAUUACUCUAAAAUCCAUGGACAUAACAGAAUCUUAUAUUAAAAACUAUAAGCAUGCAAAGAAAAAUUUUGAGAGUUCUUAUACACAGUACAUCAUACAAUAGAAGUACGGUACCGUAAUAUAUUCUUUUUAGAAGGAAGAAUGUAAUAUUAAGCUUUAAUAAAAGCUCAUAUUUCAUGUUAAACGAGAAACAUAAAAAUAAUGAAGUAAAUGCAAUAAAAAUUGUAACAACCACACAGAUAUCAAACAUUUCUCCCACUGAUAUAUUUCCUUGGCAUUUUAGAAAUUUUUGUAUCUGUGAAAAUCAACAGGUUUUCGCUGAAUCACUUAACUCAGUUUUCAUUAACAUCUGAAGCUUAGCUUCAUGGUUUUAAGCUAACAUUAUUAGGAAUGAGUAUUAACUAAAGACUGAUUUUGACAGUGUCCCACACAGUUUAUAAAAACAAAAUACAUGCAAUUCAUUAAUAUUGCAUACAGCUUUUAGCUGCUACUUUCAAGAGCAGACAUUUUGUAAAGAGGUACAAGUAAGCAGUACAUAAUAGGAAUAAAAGCUAAUUCUGUUAAUGUGUUAGGAAAAAGAAAAAAAAAGGAUUUGCUUAAUUGAAUUUGUAGUAUUCAUGGGCAAGGGAACAAAUGUAGCAAUUUCCGCUCCCCACGGGAACUGAGCAAAAAAUUGUUUUUGUAUCAAUGUAAUACUGCAUUGUGAUCUGCUUAAAGAGGUUAUCACAUCUAGCGAUGGUCCCUGCUAGACGGGACUUUUCUGAAAAAUGAGAUUCUGGUAGCACUGGUUUAAACGGGAGGAUUCCUAGAAAAAACAGCUGCGCUGGAAGUGAAGUCCGGGCUACGCAGGAUUUUUUUAAACCUGGCCGUAAAUGUUUCAGCUGCAGCUCUGUCCGGUGUAGAUCAAGACCAAUCAGACAAAUGUUCUACUUCUGAAGGUUCACAUGAUUCCAAUCUGAGCGAUAAUCGAUUACUGUUUGGCAUUCAAAUCUUUGUACUAAGUGAAAAUGGUAACCUAGCUACGUGGGUUUCCUGGAAAUGUGCAGGUCUGAGAAUUGUCCCUUUCAAUGUCCAGAACAGCCGAAACAUAAUAUGAUAGGGGUUUUAGAACCUACGAAAUUGAAUAAUGUUGUAAACAUUUAUGUGAUUAGUUACCUUUGUAAAAUUGUUUUGCAGACACCCAUGUUUCCUUUUGCUUUCGUUAUUUACUUUCAAUAUCUUCUAGGGGAUAUAUUUAUCAAAAUAAUUAUAAAUUGGUUUAUGGUACAAUUAAACUUAAGUGUAAAAACAAGGAGAUGAUUUUAUUCAGAGAUUAUUUUUUUUAUAUAAAAUGCUAAAGCUAUACAUUUAAAAACAAAACACACACACAUACACUUUUGUACAAGAAUUGCAGUUUUCCACAGGUACAAGUAAGCAGUUAUUUAAAGUCUCAGCCAGAAAUGACAAAAAAAUGCAGUGUGCACACACAAAAAAAGAUCCUUCUGGGGUUGGGGGGGAUAUCCUUUUAAAAGCAUAGAACAUUUCAUUGUACUUGCAAUUCCUCUAUUUAGUACAAUUUUUUUUUUAAUAAGUUUCUUUCUUUACCAAAAGUUGCCUGAAGACAAAGAGUAAUGCAGAUGCUGCUACAUACAAAAAAUAUUAUGCUGAAAACUGUAUCAUUCAUGAUAUUUAACAGUGAUUCAGGAGCAGCUAUUUUACUAAUAAUUGCCCGAAAACAAAUGAUAAAAGACAGACUGGUUCAAAAUUACAAUAUGCAUUUUACAGAUUCCUCAUGUAUAAAAAAAGUCUUCUUUUCAGAAUACAAAUAUACACUUUGUUAUUACAAACUACAUGAAUUAGUGCUGUCCUGA
Stegodyphus dumicola is the source of this 5023-nucleotide long non-coding RNA. RefSeq lists it as uncharacterized. The record is from RefSeq and is a predicted model, not a curated record. NCBI's taxonomy places the organism in Eukaryota, Metazoa, Arthropoda, Arachnida, Araneae, Eresidae.